This 74-nucleotide transfer RNA is filed under the name Nitrososphaera sp. RNAcentral describes it as "tRNA-Pro". It matches the Rfam family "tRNA". From Rfam's summary of the family: Transfer RNA (tRNA) molecules are approximately 80 nucleotides in length. Their secondary structure includes four short double-helical elements and three loops (D, anti-codon, and T loops). Further hydrogen bonds mediate the characteristic L-shaped molecular structure. tRNAs have two regions of fundamental functional importance: the anti-codon, which is responsible for specific mRNA codon recognition, and the 3' end, to which the tRNAs corresponding amino acid is attached (by aminoacyl-tRNA synthetases). tRNAs cope with the degeneracy of the genetic code in two manners: having more than one tRNA (with a specific anti-codon) for a particular amino acid; and 'wobble' base-pairing, i.e. permitting non-standard base-pairing at the 3rd anti-codon position. The record is from RNAcentral. Lineage: Archaea; Thermoproteati; Nitrososphaerota; Nitrososphaeria; Nitrososphaerales; Nitrososphaeraceae. RNAcentral also lists the same sequence under 5 other names.
CGGGGCGUGGCGCAGCCCGGUAGCGCACUUGCAUGGGGUGCAAGGGGUCGGAGGUUCAAAUCCUCUCGCCCCGA